This is a long non-coding RNA of Amaranthus tricolor (Joseph's coat), 923 nucleotides long. RefSeq lists it as uncharacterized. The transcript is spliced from 3 exons. The record is from RefSeq and is a predicted model, not a curated record. Lineage: Eukaryota; Viridiplantae; Streptophyta; Magnoliopsida; Caryophyllales; Amaranthaceae.
GAGCCGUCAUUCCUUCUCUUCAUUCUCCUUCUUUCUUACUCACUCCUCACAUCCCAUUUCCCUUCCCGCACAGCAGCACCGGAACCCCUCUCCUCCUUCUUUCUCUCUUUCUCACUUCUCCCCUGCGCCACCAGUGAUCGAGCGCACCUCACCACCAGCCGCUGCACGGCCACAGCAGCACCCCUCCUUCUCCUUUCCCAAACCAGCAGCCGCCCUCGCAACAGCAGCAAGGGCUACGUCUCCUUCACUUCAGCAGCCACGGUCGAGCCCUCCACGAGCAGCCUGCACCGCCGGCUACACCUCCUCCCCCGCAGCCGACAAUAGCCACCAACAGCACGUGGUGACUCCCUGUAGCCGCCCGCAAACAGCCACGGAGAUAGCCGUUUUGGCCCUGUGCCACCUCCACACAACCUCCACUUACUUCUUCACUCCUUUUAUAAUUACCCCAUUGUUCUUAGUUUAUAAGAGGAAAGUAGACCCCUUAGUUGGGUGGUUUUUGUAACUUGUGGUCGUGCAUUGACGCUUGCAGCAGGAGGAUCAUAGCUUGACAUGACAGGUAUAGGAGCUUCUUUUGCUUUGCAUUGGGGAAAAGAGCGGAGUACGAUCGUAACAAUUGUGUAUAAAUUGUCUAAAUGCUUGUAGCUUCUAUAAUACUUGUAAAGUUUUCUUUUGGGGUUGUAAAAAUUUAUUUUGUAUGGAGCCAUGUGACUCCUCGUAUGAUCCAUAGAUCCGCUGCGUAGUUUUGGAUGUACAGUAGGGAGAAUACUCCUUUAGUAUCCGUCAGAUUGAUGUUUUGUGAAGCCGACGAUGAUUUAUUCCGUCGUGACGUAUUCUUUUGAAAGACGUUAUAGGCCUUAGAUUAGUUUAAUCAUGUUAAUCAAUUAUAACUAUAUAUAUUCUAGUCACAUCCUCAGUUUUCAGUA